This is a small nuclear RNA of Suricata suricatta (meerkat), 104 nucleotides long. Lineage: Eukaryota; Metazoa; Chordata; Mammalia; Carnivora; Herpestidae. The record is from Ensembl.
GCUUGCUUUGCAGGGCAUAUGCUAAAGUUGGAAUGAUACAGAGAAGGUUAGCAUGGCCACUGUGCAGAGAUGACAUAGAAAUUCAUGACAUGUUUCAUAUUAAG